AUCAACUUUGAGAAUUGAGAUAGAGCAUCUUUGAGAAUUGGGGUGAAAGCACUUACGAGAGAGAAAAGAGAUAGGAUUUAGAACUUUAAAACAUAUAGAGAAAGUUUUUUUUUUAAUUUUAGGGUUUUUUUAACUUUUGGAAAUGAAAAAUAUAACCUCUAACGGUUAUAAAUUUGGAAACAAGAAAAAUCGGCCGCUUUGACCCAUUUCUCGGCUGCUCCACCGCCACUCUGACCUAGAUUUCAUGCCAUCCGUGCGACCAUUUGCAUCGUUCC
RNAcentral lists this long non-coding RNA (275 nucleotides) under Lathyrus oleraceus (garden pea). Its description in RNAcentral is "Pisum sativum (pea) long non-coding RNA (PSAT_LNC023092)". The record is from RNAcentral. Lineage: Eukaryota; Viridiplantae; Streptophyta; Magnoliopsida; Fabales; Fabaceae.